GGAAGGAUCAUUACAGAAAGUAAACGCGGAUCACACCGCGAACUUCUAAACCUUUGACGAUUGACUCAUGUUGCCUCGGCGGGUUCUCCCGCCAGAGGAUACAUCAAAACUCCUGUUUUAACGGUGUUGUCUGAGCUACAAGCAACGAAUCAAAACUUUCAACAACGGAUCUCUUGGUUCUGGCAUCGAUGAAGAACGCAGCGAAAUGCGAUAAGUAGUGUGAAUUGCAGAAUUCAGUGAAUCAUCGAAUCUUUGAACGCACAUUGCGCCCCUUGGUAUCCCGAGGGGCAUGCCUGUUCGAGCGUCAUUUCACCACUCAAGCCUGGCUUGGUGUUGGGCGACGUCCCCUUCAGGGACGCGCCUCGAAACGCUCGGCGGCGUGGCAUCGGCUUUAAGCGUAGCAGAAUCUUUCGCUUCAAAAGUCGGGGCCCCGUCUGCCGGAAGACCUACUCGCAAGGUUGACCUCGGAUCAGGCAGG
This 478-nucleotide unclassified non-coding RNA is filed under the name uncultured fungus. RNAcentral's name for it is "partial contains ITS1, 5.8S rRNA and ITS2". The stretch from base 154 to 307 matches the Rfam family "5.8S ribosomal RNA". The record is from RNAcentral. Lineage: Eukaryota; Fungi.